RNAcentral lists this ribosomal RNA (477 nucleotides) under uncultured bacterium. RNAcentral's name for it is "partial 16S ribosomal RNA". It matches the Rfam family "Bacterial small subunit ribosomal RNA", at positions 29 to 507 of the family's 1533-position model. The record is from RNAcentral.
AUGAACGCUCGCGGCAGGCCUAACACAUGCAAGUCGAGGGCGAAGCCCUUUCGGGGGCAGAAACCGGCGCACGGGUGCGUAACGCGUAUGCAACCUACCUUUCACAGGGGGAUAGCCCGAAGAAAUUUGGAUUAAUACCCCAUAAUAUUAUUGGAUGGCAUCAUUUGAUAAUUAAAACUGCGGUGGUGAAAGAUGGGCAUGCGUCCUAUUAGCUAGUUGGAGUGGUAACGGCACCCCAAGGCUACGAUAGGUAGGGGUCCUGAGAGGGAGAUCCCCCACACUGGUACUGAGACAGGGACCAGACUCCUACGGGAGGCAGCAGUGAGGAAUAUUGGUCAAUGGUCGGAAGACUGAACCAGCCAUGCCGCGUGCAGGAAGAAUGCCUUAUGGGUUGUAAACUGCUUUUAUAUGGGAAGAAUAAGGCGUACGUGUACGUUGAUGACGGUACCAUAUGAAUAAGCAUCGGCUAACUCCGUG